This 844-nucleotide long non-coding RNA is filed under the name Equus caballus (horse). Its description in RNAcentral is "lncRNA (ENSECAG00000047563.1)". Lineage: Eukaryota; Metazoa; Chordata; Mammalia; Perissodactyla; Equidae. The record is from RNAcentral.
GUCCAGGAGCACGGCGGCCCGCCCGGCUCCGCUCGCGUGGGAGAGGAUGCGCCCCGGGCCGAGGCCCCUCCCCGCGGGGCUGCGGGUUGGAGAAGGCGCUUCCUUAGAGGGGUGUGUUGCGGGAUGGGGGUGUCCUGGCACCGGGCGCCCUUUCCGGCUCCAUGUAGAGCCACACCAUCGCGGCUCUGCACUAGAUUGCGUGCGCAGGAUCUCCUCCCUUCAAGGCAGGUUGAGUCGACAGGGUUCGCUCCCGUCCUGGGAGUCUACUCCUCAUCUUGGACUUCCUUCUUUCUCUGAACACCUACUGUGUACCAGCGUGGCGCUGAGGAAGCAUAUGUGAAGACAGGACAAUGUGUGGAGUGCCUUGGAAGUGUGCGUGACUGUUGCUGCUGACAGCCGAGCGGGGAAAGCCACAUUUUGCUUGGUUUGUGUCAGUAGCAUCAUCUACCAUCCCUGUCAUCUUCCAUGGAAAGUGGAAAGGGGAAGUUAGAUUCCCAAGGAGAAUCCCCGAAAUUAAUCGAACAAUCCUUGUACCAGAACAUUUUAAAUGCAUCAUCUCCUAUCAUUCUCGCAACAGCUCUCUGAGGCCCAUCGCAGCAACAGAUGGAGCAGGCCUGGACCCUGAAAGGUCUGAAGGUUGAGAGGAGGCCAGAGGCUGCUGCCCUCGAAGCAUCCCCUCAUCGCUUCCGUGGCCGCCAGGUGUGUCGCGGGCCAUAGAGGAGCUGCUCCGAAGCCAGCGCGGGCCUGGCAUGGGACCAUCAGCCUGCCCAGGUGGUUAAGCAGAGAAACCUCUUCUCAAACGCCCUCCCUCCAAAGUCCCUGCUGGUGCCCAACAACUCUAAUU